GCGUUCGUAGCUCAGUUGGUUAGAGCGUCGUUGGUUCGAGUCCAAUUAAACGCACCA
This 57-nucleotide transfer RNA is filed under the name Klebsiella pneumoniae. RNAcentral describes it as "tRNA-Ser". It matches the Rfam family "tRNA". From Rfam's summary of the family: Transfer RNA (tRNA) molecules are approximately 80 nucleotides in length. Their secondary structure includes four short double-helical elements and three loops (D, anti-codon, and T loops). Further hydrogen bonds mediate the characteristic L-shaped molecular structure. tRNAs have two regions of fundamental functional importance: the anti-codon, which is responsible for specific mRNA codon recognition, and the 3' end, to which the tRNAs corresponding amino acid is attached (by aminoacyl-tRNA synthetases). tRNAs cope with the degeneracy of the genetic code in two manners: having more than one tRNA (with a specific anti-codon) for a particular amino acid; and 'wobble' base-pairing, i.e. permitting non-standard base-pairing at the 3rd anti-codon position. The record is from RNAcentral. Lineage: Bacteria; Pseudomonadati; Pseudomonadota; Gammaproteobacteria; Enterobacterales; Enterobacteriaceae.